AUUGAACGCUGGCGGCAGGCCUAACACAUGCAAGUCGAGCGGAUGAGGGGAGCUUGCUCCUCGAUUCAGCGGCGGACGGGUGGGUAAUGCCUAGGAAUCUGCCUAGUAGUGGGGGACAACGUUUCGAAAGGAACGCUAAUACCGCAUACGUCCUACGGGAGAAAGUGGGGGAUCUUCGGACCUCACGCUAUUAGAUGAGCCUAGGUCGGAUUAGCUAGUUGGUAGGGUAAAGGCCUACCAAGGCGACGAUCCGUAACUGGUCUGAGAGGAUGAUCAGUCACACUGGAACUGAGACACGGUCCAGACUCCUACGGGAGGCGGCAGUGGGGAAUAUUGGACAAUGGGCGAAAGCCUGAUCCAGCCAUGCCGCGUGUGUGAAGAAGGCCUUCGGGUCGUAAAGCACUUUAAGUUGGGAGGAAGGGCUCAUAGCGAAUACCUGUGAGUUUUGACGUUACCAGCAGAAUAAGCACCGGCUAACUUCGUGCCAGCAGCCGCCGUAA
This 500-nucleotide ribosomal RNA is filed under the name uncultured bacterium. Its description in RNAcentral is "partial 16S ribosomal RNA". It matches the Rfam family "Bacterial small subunit ribosomal RNA", at positions 30 to 523 of the family's 1533-position model. The record is from RNAcentral.